GAUGAACGCUGGCGGUAUGCUUUACACAUGCAAGUCGAACGCAAGUUUUUAACUUGAGUGGCGGACGGGUGAGUAACACGUGAGAAUUCGCCUUUAGGCGGGGAAUAACCAUCGGAAACAAUGGCUAAUGCCCCAUAUGCUCGAAAGAGUGAAAGGAGCAAUCCACCCAAAGAGAAGCUCGCGGCUGAUUAGCUAGUUGGUAAGGUAAUGGCUUACCAAGGCGACGAUCAGUAGCUGGUUUGAGAGAACGAUCAGCCACACUGGAACUGAGACACGGUCCAGACUCCUACGGGUGGCUG
Molecule: ribosomal RNA, 299 nt
Filed under: uncultured cyanobacterium
Lineage: Bacteria; Bacillati; Cyanobacteriota
Description: partial 16S ribosomal RNA
Rfam family: Bacterial small subunit ribosomal RNA
Source: RNAcentral